Molecule: non-coding RNA, 3028 nt
Organism: Equus caballus (horse)
Lineage: Eukaryota; Metazoa; Chordata; Mammalia; Perissodactyla; Equidae
Source: RefSeq, a predicted model, not a curated record
UCCUGCUGGGUCCGGCUGUGCAAAGAGAACACAGAAACCCAGGGGUGGCACCGGGCACCCUUCCUGCAUGUGGGUCCCUAUCGGGCGGCCCUCUGAAUCGCCAUUCAGCCCUGCACUCCAGGUAUCUGUGCUCUUCCUGCCUCUCCAACUUGAGUCAGAGCUCCCGAGGGUAGGGACUGGGCCACUUCUGGCCACACUUCUUGUACCUAGCACAAGACCUGGCCCAGAGCAGCCAUGUGUAAUGUUUGUUGAAAGAGUGAGGGCAAGAACGAGGCACAAAGUUACAUCAGGAUGCCUUUAGAUGUCUCUGGGAUUAACUCUGUAGCCGGAGGUAUUUACGGGCCAAACAAGGGGCCUGCCGAGCCCUCCUCAGGAGACCCUCUUGCCCACCACCUCCACGUAGGGAGCAGUGGUGGCGGCCAUGUUAUGUACCACAUGACCCAUCCUGCACCAGAGCUGAUUGGACAAGGGGUGGGCACGUGACCCUAGGCAGCCAAUCCAGGGGCUGCUCAGAGACCUACAAGAUUUCUUAGUGCGGAGCGCUCCGCUGAAGAGCGGCAGUAGAGAGUGUCCUACCCCAGCUCAGGAAUUUGACCUGGGAAACCCUGGGAGAGAAUCAGCCAGAUGGUGGCAGGAGGAGGAAAAGACACCAGGGAAUGAAAAAAUAUACACUCUAUACAUGUUGAGAAACAGAUCCCACUGAGGGUAUCUCAUCAAAGAAGUGAGUUCAGGAUGUUGUGUUCUGAUGGAGCUGCCCUGUUGAGGCCCAGGGUAAAGCCACCCCCCCGAAAGUCCCCCAGCCAUCUGAAUGAGCUUACGCCCAGCCUGGGCGGCAGAGGCCGAGGUCAGCGAGAAACCAAGGGCCAAUCGAGACUUCAGAGCAGUCAGUGGUCCCAAAGGCUGCUUCCACGCCAGCUCCCCAGCAUGCAGGCGCCGAUCCAUAAACAAGCUGCCAAAAUCCCCUGGUCAUUAACAUCACCUUCACACAGCCCCAGGUCUGUGCACACGGGCCACGGCUCAGAGUGGGAGGGGCGGGGGUGGUUUUCCGAGUGAUGAGGUUCGUGCACCCAUGAGGCUGGGGUCCAGGAGUCUGAGUAAAGCCAAUGACCCCUGCACUGAAUCUCAAAGCAAACUGUAAGAGCCAUGCCUCUUCGUGUCUGAUCCGUCCUGAUGGGGGCCGGGACUGGAGUUCAGAGCGGUCUGCGCGGUCACACACGAGGUGGAGAUGCGCCCCACCCUGCAGCGGGAGGGGCGGGAGCCCCGACCGUCACCUGAGUGCUUACGUGCUUGAACUCGUUGUCGUGCACCAAAGUGCCACUAGAGGGCACCAAAGAACCGUGCGGAGGGUCCCGCCGGGCGGCCGUGAAUCACCCUCCGAUGGGGACACAGAGCUAAUUCUGUGGUUCAGUGGGGCUGCAAGUGGUGAAGCCGGCAGCAGCAUCCCGUGCUACUCCAGAAGGCACCCACUGGCCUUAAACGAGGCCAGAUUUCCAGGCACCGUAGAGGACCCGCCCUCCCCGCCUUUCCGGGGGCAGCGGGGGUGGGAGGGUGGGGGGAAAAUAUUGGGUAAUGAGGGGCUGGAGGGCCCAGGCUGGGGACCUGGUCACAGUGAGCACAGGGCCCUAGCCCCUGCAGAUGCCAUCCUGGGAUCUCACAUCAGGGUCUGAGCCAGGAUGUCAGGCCCACUUCUCCUGUGUACGGUUGUGGACUGCAGCAUGUCUACUGGCCUAAGAAUGUUUCCCUUGCUCUGGAUGACUGGCCUACAAGAAUUCUCAACUUGCUUUUUUCUCCUUUUUGUUUCUCUUCUUUACUUGCUCGUCAGCGUCGGAGCUGAGAUUCAAACCCAGGUCUGUCUGACUGCCGACCCAGUGUUCUUUCCUCCCUCACCCUGUGCCCUCCCGAGCCUGCCCGCCUUCUCACAGCGUUGUGUCAAACCCCAAGGAGACAGUGGGGACAGACCUGCUCUGUAAACUGUGAGGCGCUGCUCGUGGGAGGAACGACUGAAUCGCUAAGCAUUCGUUAGAGGCCUGCCCGAUGCCCUGGAGCUCUGUGAAGGCUGAGCUUCGGUGCUGCAAGCGGAACUCAGGCUGAUCAGAUGCUCUUCCUGCCUGGCAGGGACGGCACCCCGCCGAGAGGGCACACUGGUCCACGCUGGCCGGUGCUCACACCCGUCUCCUGCCCAGCGGGAGCAGGCAGGUGCUGCCUGGGAAAGCCUCGCCCAUCUGUGCAGCGAACGGAGAGCAGCUGGCCUGUGAGUCCCUCUGCGCAGCGCAAUUACUCACAAUGUAGGUCAGUGGCCCCUGCAAACGCCCUGCUUUGUCAGGCCACACAGACGGACAGGUGGGGGUCCGGGCCUGGGCUCAGGCGUGGAGGCCUGCGGGGCCGCAGUCUUGGUCCUCCUCUAGACUUGCUGAGUGACCUUGGCAAGUAAGUGCUCGCCCUUUCGAGACCUCAGUUUCCCAUUUGCAAAGGGAGCCCCUGGGUUAGUGUACUGUCUAGUCAUGUGAGCCUGAAUGAUGGAGGCAGGGCCAUAUUUGUCCUGCAUUCGCUCAUUCAGAAUCACUGAAUCGCUAUUCUCACAGUCCGAGCGUGCUGCACGUGCUGGGUGUGGGUGCAGGUGUGGAAGACCCACAGCAUGCUCGCCUGUGAGGAGUGUGCCUUCUAGGCGGGGCACACCCCACGUGUGGACGAACCACCUGGUACCACCAUGAACAGAGCCGCCAUUGGUGUUCCCAAACAGAACUACAGGCCCUCUGCGGGGCGCUAACGGGGACCUUCUUCAGAUCGGGUCGUCUGGGAAGGCUUUUCUGAAGUGCUGACAUUUAGUCUGAGACCUGAGUGAUGAGAAAGACCAGCCCUGAGAACCUAGGCUGAGAGCCUUCCUGGGAGAGGGAACAGCAAGUGGGAAGGACCCGAAACGGCAAAGACCUGGGCAUGUUUCAGGGCCCCAGAGGACACCAGUGUGGCUGGAGUGUGGUGAGGGAGGGGCCAGCACCGAUCCUCACUGAUAAUGUGCACUCGAACCCCC